CCGCGGCUUCAAGACCCAAGUCGACCUACUUUAUUUUCUUGCCUUUGACUUAUAAUUUUUGGUGUAUGACGACCUAUAAAUGAUUUAACAAUAAGGGUAUUCCACCUCGGUGUCUGCUUCAUUUAUACUUAGGUUAUUUUUGAAUGUGUUACUUUCUUUGCUUUACCGAGCUACUAAGUCCUUUGAGACUUAAUUUGAUUCAAGUUGUAAUUACUUAACUCAUCUUCACUUUCUAACUUGCGAGCUUCUUCUACCUUACGUUAACAUAAAAAGCCUUAAGCUGUAUGCUUACUUA
RNAcentral lists this long non-coding RNA (295 nucleotides) under Manihot esculenta (cassava). RNAcentral's name for it is "long non-coding RNA (MESC_LNC012442)". Lineage: Eukaryota; Viridiplantae; Streptophyta; Magnoliopsida; Malpighiales; Euphorbiaceae. The record is from RNAcentral.